UUUUUCUUUCUUUUUCAUGAUUUUUUUUUAAGAAUUCAUUUUUUACUUGUCAAUUUUUUUUCUUUUCUUUCUUUUCUUUUGAUCAAAUUUCUCUUGUACCUCAACCCCAAACUUAUCUAUGGCUAACUUUCAAUAGAAAUCCCAAACUUUUUCUUUUGCAUCAGACAAGUAAAAUAAAUAUUUAUACUUAACUUCAGCGAGUGUGGAAAGAAUUAACAUUUCAAGUUAAAUGGUUAUAUAAUAAAUGCUAUGUCACUGAAAGAAUGGGUAAGGCUCAAACUGGUUAGCACACUACAACAAACAAGACCUUAGACAACGCUUUUUUUAGCCUUAGACAGCGCUUUAAAG
RNAcentral lists this long non-coding RNA (348 nucleotides) under Lathyrus oleraceus (garden pea). Its description in RNAcentral is "Pisum sativum (pea) long non-coding RNA (PSAT_LNC018924)". Lineage: Eukaryota; Viridiplantae; Streptophyta; Magnoliopsida; Fabales; Fabaceae. The record is from RNAcentral.